GCCGAGAUCGCCUAAUCCGGUAUGGCACUGGUCUUGAGAACCAGCGAGCGAAAGCUCUUGGGAGUUCAAAUCUCCCUCUCGGCG
This 84-nucleotide transfer RNA is filed under the name Candidatus Aenigmatarchaeota archaeon. RNAcentral describes it as "tRNA-Ser". It matches the Rfam family "tRNA". From Rfam's summary of the family: Transfer RNA (tRNA) molecules are approximately 80 nucleotides in length. The record is from RNAcentral. Lineage: Archaea; Nanobdellati; Candidatus Aenigmatarchaeota.